Long non-coding RNA from Hypanus sabinus (Atlantic stingray), 8023 nucleotides. RefSeq lists it as uncharacterized. The record is from RefSeq and is a predicted model, not a curated record. Lineage: Eukaryota; Metazoa; Chordata; Chondrichthyes; Myliobatiformes; Dasyatidae. The transcript has 2 exons.
UAGCAAGCAAAUGCCGCAGGGAUUUGAACCCCAUCCUGGAAACCAGGAGUGCCAACCACCAGCAUCUUUUGCUUUUUUUGGGGGUGGAGCACUACAAAGGCAAAAGCAAAACCUGAGAAAACAAUUAUUUGUUCUCCCAGUAAAAGAAAACCUGAUUUGCUGCCUAAACUUCCAAUCUUGUAGCAAUCCUGGCAGAUGGUAAAUUCCUGAGCCUCCAUGUAUUCUCAAAACAAUCCACACGUUCCAUUUGCAAUCUCUGACCUUGCAAGCCAAUGUCACUCACUAGACUGAAAUGCAACAAACCACCACACCAAACACGACACAAAUGGAACAGAACCAUUCCAGCAGUCAUUACAGUCAGAAUACUAAAUAUCAUUAGAUUUUAAAUCUUAAACAUUGAUUACUCAUUCAUAAUUACACAUGGCAAAUAGACUGUUACAUUUGACAGCUUACGGACACUGUACUUCUGUUCAUCUGGAGACCUUCAGGAUUCUGGUAUCUGAAAAACUAAAGAGAGGCCAUUUUCCCCACCCUAAAAACCCUAGUGAAUUUCAUAAAUACAAGUUUAAAGACUGCACCUGUGUAAAGGCUGUCCACAGUAUUCACUUCAUCAGCAAGGGCUGGAAACCUGAAAAAACUAAGAACAAGACUGUUCCCCACCCUAAACCCAUCAAAUGAAAUGGUGCAAUAAGAAUGAAGAUCAGAACCUGGUGAGUUCGUCCAGCGUACAGUUAUCCAUCUAAGCAAGCACAGCAGGAGACCUGAAAGAACUAAAGAAAACAAGUCUUUUCCCCACCCGAAACCCUUUGAAAUGGUUCAAUAAAAAUGAAGUGGAGCACCUGUUUGCCAGUCCAGAGUAUGGUUAUGUUCCAAGGCUUAGCAGCAAGCAGUGAAGAUCUGAAAGAGCUAAACACAAGAAGGUUCCCCACCCAAGCCCAGUUGAAAUGGAUUUGAAUAAUGAAAUUCAGCACCUGUUUAGUCCAGUAUACGAGUGUAUUCCAACUAAUUAAGCAGCGUAGACUGGAGUCCUGAAACUAAGAACAGACUUCCCCACCUAAAUCCCUUUGAAAUGAUUAUUAAUGGAAGGAGCACCUGUUACACGAGUCCGGUGCAUGGCUGUUCCAUCUAUCUAACGCGACAUGGGAGACCUGAAAAAUACUAAGAAGAUGACUGAUCCCCACCCUAAACCCCUUUAAACUGUUUUAAUUAGAAGAGUCAGCACCUACUGGAAGACAGUCCAACGCAGCGAAUUCACUGGGCAAUACAGGAAAGCUGAAAAACUAAGACUGGCUGCGUCCUUAACCCCAUUGAUGGGAUACCUUAAAGUUUGUAGGUCUAUUUUGAGCAACAGAGAUGGAAAUCUGGGGAGAAAGAAGAGUGCUGUUUCAUAGCCCUACACCCCCCCCCCACUAAUGAAAUCAAUUAAAAGCUCCAGCAGUAAUUUAUACACCACAUGCUAAAAAUCAUUUACAACCAAAACGGGAAACUAAUCUCAUGGGGAAAAUAGAAAUGAAAUUCAUACCUCUCCAAAACACCAGUUAACUUGCUUCCCAGAUGUCUAUUAGUGCCUUCCUUGGUAGAUCAAGCCUUCUAUCUUUGUAGCCCAUUCAAGCAAGUAAUGCUACUUUGAUAGCUCACUGCCUCCUGUAUUUUACUUUUCCAACAUUAUUUACAUCUAUGGUUCAGUUUUAUCUUGGAGAAAGAUUUGUAAGGAAUUAUGACCUACUGCAUUCAGUGAAGGUUACUGGACCAGCUGUAAGUAAUUCUAGGCUUGUUCGUUCACAUCUGCAAAAUAAAAUCUAGGAAAUAUCACCUUACUUUCCCCCCCCCAACCCCAUUUCAAUUUGCAACAAAUCAGUUUGCAACUUGCAACUUAAAUUUACAAAGUAAUCUUUUCAGAAAUCUUAGUAUGACACUUAUCUGUACCAGGAGUGCUUCUGAACCCAACCACAACAUACUUUGGGAAGUGUCGGAUCUAGACUUGAAAUAAGGCUACAUGUCUUGCAAACGAUCCAAGAAAUUCAGUCAUACGAACAGCUCCAGUCGCAAACUCAUUCAUCCUUUUAAAAUGAUGGCUCUGCGCAGAUUCCUUACAACAUUCAGUCUGAAGAACUCUGGGCUGUCUGUCUCACUCAAAAGCUCGACACUUCAAGUAUGAGAUUUGCUUCGACUUGUGAUACCUGAAAAAAUCUUAAGGAAAAGAAGCCAAUCUUCCCACCCAGCCCAACAGUACUCUACAGAUACAAGCAAUUUAUGUAAACUAAUUUGCUGACCUUUCUUCACUGCAAAUCUAGUUGGCUUGUUGUUUCAUCUACAGCUACUUCAAACCAAUAUUCUUAUUAUCCAGAAUGCAUGCAAUUUACAAAGCCAACAUCCCCUGAAGUGGAUUUUCCAGGGUAAUUAGUCUCAAUUACAUCGUGCAACUAUUAAGCAGCUAACUAGAAAAGGAAAAAUUAACUGCCACCUUCAAUCCAACUUAACAGAUUUGUGAUUUAACAACCAAUUCCAUAUGAUGAAUCAAUAUAGAUUAGUGCAGUUAAUCAUGCACAGCUCAAUUCCAUGCCAUCAUUUCGAAUUUUUUUCCUACCACCAAUGCAAUUUUGUAAAAUUGCAAGUUAAAUUGAAGUGAUUCACUGCAGUUAAUAUAUACUGACAGGUAAAGCUUAAUCAUCAAUGGUCUUCGGGAAGAGCACCAAUUGGUCCACAAAGACAAACUAACUUUAAAAGGCUUACAGGGCACUCUACAAUAUUAUGCUGUUUUACCUUAGGAACAAGCAACUUUAUAGUCUGAAAUCACUGGUUUAGCGUGUUCUGAAAUGACUGGUGUUUAAUGUAUUCUGAAGGUUUACUUGCUGUGAUUGUAGACAGAUUUAAAGAUCAUCUUCAAGAUCCCAUAGCAGAAUAAAGCUUUGUAGGAGCACACCUGGAAAAUAAAAUCUUGGAACAACUUUCCCUAUCACCCACUCCCACUUCAGGAAGCAUUCUUCCAAAGCAGGGUGUUCGCGUACAAAAUUUAUAAACAUGCUGUUGUUUAAAGCUACAACACUCAAUUUCCUACAGAAACAAUGGGAGUGGAAUUUAAACUCGUAAAGCCAUACAAGGUAAAAUCCAUUGCCCCUGAUUAUUUUUGUUCAAACUGAAAAUUUUACAUUCAGUGCAACAAUAGUGAGUUAUCAGUCACUGCCCCAUACUCAGAAAUGAGAAGUGUUACUUAUCUUCAACACUGCAGUAGGAGGUAAUCAUUCUGAAAGAGUUCUUCUCAACCAUUACACUGAAAGAGUUAGUUGCUGAGCUGAUUUACAACUGCCUGGUUGAAACUCAAGAAUCUUUCUUCAGUGGGCUCACUGGAUUGUUUUCCUGGGUGCCUGUAAAAGUCUCAACAACACAUCUUCCAUCCCAUCAAUCCCCACAAAUUCAGCCAGCAGCUGAUCCACAACUGUUCUCUUCCUGCAUGUUAAAUAUUUUAGAUGCCAAGUUUGAAGCAAUUCAAGUUCUUCACCAUUCCCAAGUCAAUCUUCCAUCCAUUUACUGCACAUUGAGUUUAGACUCUCUUUACACAUUUUCCGAGCAGCAAACUUGUUAUAAACACAGAUGCUGGAAUAGACAAAGUGCUGGAGGAACUCCAGUCAGGAGAGGCAGUUAUGCCGGUAUGUUCUUACAGCAGUUUCUCAUUCGGACUUCAUUCCCCCUCCUCUUCUGUACUGAUAAAGGGUCUCGGCCCAAAACUGCAGUUUAUUCCAUGCCAUAGAUGCUAAGUUCAUCCAACAUUUUGUGUGUAGACCCAACUUGUUAACCUAGCAAAAGCAUGAAUUAACUUCAGCUACCUACGUACAACCAAGAGAAGGGCGAAGUAUUCAAUGAUCCAGUCUCAGAAACACAACUUCCACCUGCACGGAGACUCCAAUAUUCACAUUCCCAAUCGACUUUACUGGCCACCUGUAAUCCUGAACGGUUUUAUUCUUGCAGACAAGAAACAUUACUACCACUGGGACGUCUAUAGGAUCUGGAAGAGAAUUCUGAGAGCUCGUUGUACCCAACCCACCCAAACAGCAGCAAUUUAAAAAAUUACUGACAAAAUGUCAUGUUUUGUUAACUUCGAAACUGACGUUUAGAGACAAGUUGCUCACGUUUAGCUGCAUCUUUGUAAUCUUGUAGGAGGAAGUGUUGUAGAAAUAGAUGUUGCCUACGGUCCUGUUAAGUACAUUUAGUUUACUGAAAGCCAGUGAUUCCUUUUGCAAUCAUUCUUCCCAGUAAGUUUCAGAUUUGAUGGGAUCCCAGUAUUGGAGCUGAUCAGUAUCUUAUACCUGAAAAAUAAGAACUAGACAACAUUUCGCACCCCUCCCCAACAGCAAAGCUAUGCACAAGUUUGGAUGGCAGGCAUAAAGCCCACAGGUAACUAACACCUGUAUGAACAGCAGGCAUAAAGCCCACAGGUAAAUUACCAGCUGUCUGAAUAGCAGGCAAAAAGCCCACAUGCAACUCACUACCUGUCUGAACAGCAGGCAUAAAGCCCACAGGUAACUCUCACCUGUCUGAAUAGCAGGCAAAAAGCCCACAGGUAACUCACACCUGUCUAAUAAAGCCCACAGGUAACUCACACCUGCCUGAACGAGGGGCACAAAGCCCACAGGUAAUUCACACCUGUCUGAACGAGGGGCAUAAAACCCACAGGUAACUCACACCUGUCUGAACGAGGGGCAUAAAGCCCACAGGUAACUCACACCUGUCUGAACGAGGGGCAUAAAGCCCACAGGUAACUCACACCUGUCUGAACGAGGGGCAUAAAACCCACAGAUAACUCACACCUGUCUGAACGAGGGGCAUAAAGCCCACAGGUAACUAACACCUCUCUGAACGAGGGGCAUAAAGCCCACAGGUAACUCACACCUGUCUGAACGAGGGGCAUAAAGCCCACAGGUAACUCACAUCUGUCUGAACGAGGGGCAUAAAGCCCACAGGCAACUCACAUCUGUCUGAAUGGUGGGCAUAAAGCCCACAGGCAACUCACACCUGUCUGAACGAGGGGCAUAAAGCCCACAGGUAACUCACACCUGUCUGAAUGGUGGGCAUAAAGCCCACAAGGAACUAGCUCUGAAUAGCCAACACUUAAAAUAACCCUGCAUGAAAUAAUGCACCAAAUUGCAAGCUAAAUUGUAAGUGGAUUUCACUGCAAUUAGAAGAUUAUAAUGACUAGUAAAGCUUAAUCAUCUCAGUGGUCUUUGGGAAGAGCAACAACUGGUCAAGAACAAAACUAAAUUAACUUUAAAAGGCUUACAAGGCAUUCUACAAAAUUAUGCUGUUUUACCUUAAGAACAAGCAACAUUAUAGCCGGAAAUCACUGGUUUAGCGUGUUCUGAAAUGACUGGUGUUUAAUGUAUUCUGAAGGUUUACUUGCUGUGAUUGUAGACAGAUUUAAAGUUCUUCAAGUUCCCACAGCAGAAUAAAGCUUUGUAGGAGCACACCUGGAAAAUAAAAUCUUGGAACAACUUUUCCUAUCACCCACUCCAGGAAGCGUUCUUCCAAAGCAGGGUGUUCACGAACAAAAUAUAUAAACAUGCUGUUGUUGAAAGCUAAAACACUCAUACUUUCCUACAGAAACAAUAGAACUGGAAUUUAAACUCAUAAUGUCAUACAAGAUAAAAUCCAUUGCCCCUAAUUAUUUUUGUUCAGACUGAAAACUUUACAUUCAGUGCAACAAUAAUGGGUUAUCAGUCACUGCCCCAUACUCAGAAAUGAGAAGUGUUACUUAUCUUCAACACUGCAGUAGGAGGUAAUCAUUCUGAAAGAGUUCUUCUCAACCAUUACACUGAAAGAGUUAGUUGCUGAGCUGAUUUACAACUGCCUGGUUGAAACUUAAGAAACUUUCUUCAGUGGGCUCACUGGAUUGUUUUCCUGGGUGCCUGUAAAAGUCUCAACAACACAUCUUCCAUCCCAUCAAUCCCCACAAAUUCAGCCAGCAGCUGAUCCACAACUGUUCUCUUCCUGCAUGUUAAAUAUUUUAGAUGCCAAGUUUGAAGCAAUUCAAAUUCUUCACCAUUCCCAAGUCAAUCUUCCAUCCAUUUACUGCACAUUGAGUUUAGACUCUCUUUACACAUUUUCCGAGCAGCAAACUUGUUAUAAACACAGAUGCUGGAAUAGACAAAGUGCUGGAGGAACUCCAGUCAGGACAGGCAGUUAUGCCGGUAUGUUCUUACAGCAGUUUCUCAUUCGGACUUCAUUCCCCCUCCUCUUCAGUACUGAUAAAGGGUCUCGGACAAAACUGCAGUUUAUUCCCCUCUAUAGAUGCUAAGUUCAUCCAACAUUUUGUGUGCAGACCCAACUUGUUAACCUAGCAAAAGCAUGAAUUAACUUCAGCUACCUACGUACAAACACGAGAAGGGCGAAGUAUUCAAUGAUCCAGUCACAAUGAUCCCGGUAUUGGAGCUGAUCAGUAUCUUAUACCUGAAAAAUAAGAACUAGAAACCAUUUCACCUCCCCAACCUUGUGCAGUGGGCAUAAAGCCCACUGCAAAUUCCAAAUGGCAGGUACAAUGGCGCAACUACAUCUGAAUGGCAGACAUUAAGCCCACGGGUAAAUUCCAAUGACAAAGCUCAGGAACAAGCUGAGCUGAAUGUUACUGCAAAUGCAGUAAUAUCUUAAAGCUGUGUAAUUGUUUUAUUAUUUAUCCCAGACUCAUGCAUUAUGUGGGGAGCAUUCCCAGCUGACCCAGUAGAGCUUGCCUACUGUACCCCUCAGAAACACAGGCAUAAAGCCCAGUUUGUGUGUAAUACCGACCACAUCUGCCAUUGAUAAGAUUCUGCUGCCCUGCUCAGUAAGUCCAAAAGUACACUUAGCUGUGAGGAAGUGAACUGUAAGCACCAGGGUUGUCCUGAGCGCAAACCUUGUCAAGUCACGCACUGAACCUCAACCAGAACAAAGCAAGACUGGUCUUUCAGAGUUGAUCCCUAGAGAGCGACACAGCCAGGACACCAUGCUCCACACAGCAAGACAGCUCAGAAUGAGGCACUGAAAGAUAAAACUGGACAUUGUUGCCCACCCUACGGACCCCACGGUGUAGGAGCAAAGCACGACGACACCGGGCUCCAAACAUACAAACCAAACCAGGCUGCCUCCUCAUCUUCACUUGUGCUAUCUGCCUCGGUCCAGGACUCACUCCUUCCUGUUUGCCUGGUCCAGACUUGUUCCAUCCUCUCCUGCCUUGAUCCUCUCUCUGCCUGUUCCAGCUGGCUCCAUUCCCUCCUGCACGAUCCUCUCUCUCUGCCUGUUCCAGCUGGCUCUGUUCCCUCCUGCACGAUCCUCUCUCUCUGCCUGGUCCAGACUUGCUCCGUUCCCUCCUGCACGAUCCUUCCUGUCUGCCUUGAUCCAGGAGACUCACUGCAUCCUCUGCUUCGUCACAGUUCUAGCUCAGCAGCUCUUGGCUUGCGGUUGCUGGACAGCUUGGCCACCCAUUGUCACUGACAAGUUGCAAGUCCAUCAUCACCAGUCCCUUUCACACCCAACAGCACUGGACACACUGGCUCAACACUCUGCCACAUCUUCAGGCUCCCACCAGCAGGCUGGGGAGCCCCUGACCUUGCGCAGCAGCUCCCAUCACAGGUACAAAACGCAGUCACUGCAGCGGAAAUGACGGCUCCCUGCCCCACCCAGGCCAUCCCUGGAGGCCCUCUCCUACCCAGCCCUACCUCAGCUCAGGGUGUGGCUAAACCCCCCCCCCCCACCACCCCCGGGACAGGUGAUGUCCUCCCACCUGGACACAUUUACAGCCGAAGGAAUCAACCCCUCCCACAACCCCACUAACAGGAUUACAAGGAUCGCCGACCCCUCAAACUCCACCGUCCCGCUAACGGGAUAAACUGCGUCACCCACCCUUUGGCCCAGCCCCAGUGUUACUGGCUUCAACACCACCACCAACUCUACAUAUACGCAGAAUCCCCUCCACCCUACUUCAGGCCAAAGCCAGCAUCCGGCCCAUUUAACAGCCGAGAGCUCUCCACCACCUCUAUCAGCGCCACCCCCCCCCCCA